AACGAACGCUGGCGGCAUGCCUAACACAUGCAAGUCGAACGAGACCUUCGGGUCUAGUGGCGCACGGGUGCGUAACGCGUGGGAACCUGCCCUUAGGUUCGGAAUAACUCCCCGAAAGGGGUGCUAAUACCGGAUAAUGUCUUCGGACCAAAGAUUUAUCGCCUUUGGAUGGGCCCGCGUUGGAUUAGCUAGUUGGUAGGGUAAAAGCCUACCAAGGCGACGAUCCAUAGCUGGUCUGAGAGGAUGAUCAGCCACACUGGGACUGAGACACGGCCCAGACUCCUACGGGAGGAAGCAGUGGGGAAUAUUGGACAAUGGGCGAAAGACUGAUCCAGCAAUGCCGCGUGAGUGAUGAAGGCCUUAGGGUUGUAAAGCUCUUUUACCCGGGAUGAUAAUGACAGUACCGGGAGAAUAAGCGCCGGCUAACUCCGUG
RNAcentral lists this ribosomal RNA (433 nucleotides) under uncultured bacterium. Its description in RNAcentral is "partial 16S ribosomal RNA". It matches the Rfam family "Bacterial small subunit ribosomal RNA", at positions 29 to 507 of the family's 1533-position model. The record is from RNAcentral.